UCCGUAGGCGGUCUUAUAAGUCAGUGGUGAAAUCCCAUCGCUCAACGAUGGAACUGCCAUUGAUACUGUAGGACUUGAAUGCUUAGGAAGUAACUAGAAUAUGUAGUGUAGCGGUGAAAUGCUUAGAUAUUACAUGGAAUACCAAUUGCGAAGGCAGGUUACUACUAAGUGAUUGACGCUGAUGGACGAAAGCGUGGGGAGCGAACAGGAUUAGAUACCCCUGUA
This 225-nucleotide ribosomal RNA is filed under the name uncultured Flavobacterium sp. Its description in RNAcentral is "partial 16S ribosomal RNA". It matches the Rfam family "Bacterial small subunit ribosomal RNA", at positions 568 to 792 of the family's 1533-position model. The record is from RNAcentral. Lineage: Bacteria; Pseudomonadati; Bacteroidota; Flavobacteriia; Flavobacteriales; Flavobacteriaceae.